UACAAUUUCAUGAGUUAAACAAGAAGGCUAAUAUAGUUGAUAAUUUACUUAAAGUACAAAAUGUGAACAUUUCACCCAAAGUGUUACUAAGUCACGUUGAUAAGUGUUAGUGGGUAAAUUUUCUGAUUUAUGGUUGGGAAACAAAAAGGGAAAAAGGAAAAGAGGAAGCCAUGGUCAAUUCCCCCAUUAAUUUGCCUUCUUCCUCACCCUUUCAUGGCCAUUUGACACUCAUGCAAUCACAACUAUCUUCUUCUUCUUCAGUCAAGAUCUAUCACCAACCCAUCACCAUUGCUUCUUCAAGUUAACAAAAUCAGAUUAUUUACUUCACCAUCUUCCUCCCAACUACUGAUUUUAACUCCAAAUUUCCCUAUAAAUAGUCAUGGAUUCAAUACCAAGAACACACCAACAACAACCUUCAUCAUCUCUUCUCUCUAAUCAGAAAUUCAGUCAAUAAUCGCCAGAAAAUUGUAACUAAAAGAAAUAAAAAAAAAAAAAAAAAAAAGAAAAGAGAAAACCCCAAAUUCAUAAUCUCUCUCCUCUGUUUCGACCUCCCACAACCGACCACCGCGGCCACCGCGCGCGCCACCUGCGCCGCGCCCAGUCCCGUCCCCACCCCGCUGUCGUUCGCCGACCACCUGCACAGCUUGCCGGAGAUCCGCGCUAGCAGCUUUGUUCUAUCUCUCCUCCUCGCGCACUCUCUCUCCUCGUCGCGCUCUCUCUCGUCGCUCCUCUUCGCGUGCCGCUGCUGCUGCCUUUCGCCGCCGCCGGAUACCAUCGCCGGAGACGUCGCUGCUGCUCGCCGUCGACCACCGAAGCCGGCGUCCACCUCAGUCGCGAUUCGUCCCCCUUGCUCCUAGUAGCAGAGAUUAAAGGAGAUAAAGGAUAUUACAAGCCUCCCCCGACUAUCAAGGUUAUUAAGCAGGAAUUCAGGUACCGAAGGUGAUAAGGGGAUGGCGUAGCAGUGAGGAUUUAAUUAAUAUCGAGAUUAUAUAGACUCUCAUGAUUUUAAUUUAAGUUUAUGUCAAAACUCUGAUUAGUAACUAAGUUUCUGGUAAUCAAGACUAAUGUUGAAUCUAUAUUAUGUUUCAUGUUACAAAAUGUUUAAGUUUAUGAUUUUAUGUCGCCUUGUAUUUUCCUUAUGGAAAGUACGGCGGUAACGCGCCGACUAUCUAGGUUCCGCUGCUAAUAAUCGAUUAAUUAACUUACCAACGAUGAUUAGAGGUCGGGGCGUUACAUUAAGACCCAACCGUAGGAUUAACCCAUGCUUUAGAUAUUUGACUAAUUGAACUAUUGAUGAUAUUUUGAUAGAUUUUAGUUAUAAACAUGGUGAACCAUUAUCCUAUAUCCUUUUUAGUUUGAUUUUCGUAGUUUGAUUGUUUGGAACUUUCAUUCAAAUAUUUGUGAUCUUGUUUAAUUUCUCUAUACCUUAGAAACUAGAUUAAGACGACCAUCUCUAUGUGGAUUCGACCCUACUUACACUACUACAUUGUUAGAAGAUUUUGCAGGAAUUAUUUUUGACAGGUGUACGACAGCCUAUCAAAUUUAGGCGUCCUUGACAGGGAGACGGUAUAGUUUUAUUUAGUUUUUAUUGUUGGUGAGAAUAAAUUGUAUAUUUUUUUCCCUUUUGUGAAUAUUUAUAUAUUUUUAUAAUUUUUUUGUAUCAUGGAGUCAUGCUAUUUUGAUGACGGGGAUAAAUCUUUUGCUAGGCAACAUAGUAAUGAUCCUUGGGAUUCUCAUGUUUACAGUUUUGAUGCAUCACAUCAAAAUCGAUCCUCCCAAUUUUUGCAUGAGUUCUCCUAAUUUACCUCAUAUGUUCUAUGAAUCUCAUGUACAUGUUAGUAAUUCUAGAAUAAUUUUUUCUUUUAGUCAGUAUAAGAAUGAAGUGUUUUUGAAGUA
This is a long non-coding RNA of Beta vulgaris subsp. vulgaris (sugar beet), 1896 nucleotides long. RefSeq lists it as uncharacterized. The transcript has 3 exons. The record is from RefSeq and is a predicted model, not a curated record. NCBI's taxonomy places the organism in Eukaryota, Viridiplantae, Streptophyta, Magnoliopsida, Caryophyllales, Amaranthaceae.